AAACAUUUGAUAUGUUUUCCGUGUUCUAUUCUGUUCUAUAAUAUGUGAAUAGCAUAUGGGUUUAUGAGAUUUGCAAAUCAUUGCAUUCUGUUUUUAUUUACAUUUUACAAAGCAUCCCAACUUUUUUGGAAUUGGGGUUGUAUAGAUAGCCCUCGAUAGUUGUCAAGUAAGAUGUUCUCAUCUUCAUUGGAGCCUGCAUGAUGGUAUCGCCCAUCUUUCAUUAGUAAAACUGGGAGGGCUUUAUUUCCAGUUCACAUGAGAAUGACAAAAGACUAGAAUAUUAUUGAGGAAAAAAGAGCUUCUCCCACAGGGACAUGGGAAAGGAAGCAGGGACAUGGGAAAAGUCCAGCUGCUCAGGUUUUUCACAGGUGAAUUGAAGUAAUUAUACAUCCAAAGCCAAGCCUAGCCUAAAAGUGUGGAGACAAAGCGCACAUCAUGACCUCGUUGAUUUCCACCACUUUAAUCAUGUGCUUAGCAGUCGCAGCGCUUGAUGGAUCAGAUGCUUUGCUCUGCGACAGGGCCACAUUUGAUUAUGGAGUGCACAAUUACUGUCUACUUGACUACAAGCAACACAUGGCAGCCAGCAACUACCAGGAAGAAUGUCCAUGGCCCAACACUCAACACUACUACUAUUAUUUGGACAACUGUUUCCAACAUAUGGUAGACAUCACAGCAUGCAGUGAGCCUUCUCUGAAGAACAAGAUCUUUUUGGAUCUCCACCGCACAUAUUUUUUUCACUGCCACUUCCUGAAGGACCCUGAUGUGCCUGUGCUGCUGUUGUUUAUGCUGCCCUGCAUCAUCGUUACUUUUGUCUUCUCCUUUCUCUGUAGCUACAUCACCCCCAAGGAAUAAUGCAUCCAUGAUUAACUCACAUUGCUACAAAGACUCUUGUUAGAUUAGGAUUACUAUGAAACAUUCUGAUACAUUUAUGUGACUGACUGACACUCCAAGAUUUGAACACCUACUUAUUAUUAUCUUGUUUUUAGCAGACAAACUGGAAUUAAAUGUAUUUGUAAGAAAAAUGUAUUAGUGUCACUGUUUUAAUCUCAGGUAAAUGUCAGUUCCCAAAUGUAAACUCUUUAUAAGUCAUUUCUGACCAUUAACUUGUUCAUUUUAACUCGCUGAGUUUUGUUGACAAUCAAUUUCUCAUAGUCUCAUAUUGGUCGGUACAAAGGCAUAACCAAGUUGAUUUGUUCACAAGAUGGAUGACUUUUAGGAGUGCCAAUCUUAUUCAUUAGCACACUGCAGUUUUGAAAAUUGUCAUUAAAUUGUAAUAGUACCACCUGUAAUGGGACAUUCGUACAAAGGACCAGUACCAAACCACAGAGAGUAUGUUUGCUUUGCACAACCCUCCACAUUAAGUAUUUUGAGGACUUAAUAGGUUAAUUUUUUUGUUACUCCUAUAAUAGAAAGAGCAAUUUUACAACACAAUAGGCUUAAAACAAUGUAUGUUGAAACACAUCAUAAAUAUUUAUUUUGAGACAAAAAAAUAACAAUUUGUUUAACAGUGGUUUGAAAACAUUUUUUUUUUUUUUUACAGUAAUAGUAGUUUCUACUGCUAUUAAAAUAUCCACAUAACAUCAUUAUUUCUUUCAGUAUUGCUAAAGCUAAAGUAAUACAUUACUUAUCAUAAGAACUUGUUUGCCUUUUUUUUUGACAAACUAUACCUCUUACCAUAGUUACAACAAGGCAACACUGAGUUAUAAAAGUGGUCUGUUUGGGACUGACAACAUUUAGACAUGAUUUAAGGAUAACAUGACACAUGGGUGCUGAAUGUAUGGAAAGUAAACAUUUAUACAUUAUAUGCUCUACAGUUGAAAACAAUGGAAACUAGCAGGUGAUAUUUAUAGGUUCGACAAUUUUACAGUUAAGUCAAUUUGCCAACAACCAGAAUAUUACAUUGGUGUGCGGUCAUUGUACUUUCAUAGGAAAAGCAUUAAUUGUCUUUGCUGAGAGCAGUCUAUUAUAUUGACCAGAUCUCAAUGAUCUGAUCAUUAAUUCAGUAACAUCUGAUUGAGUAAACCAAGCUGAAUGGAGCAUUUGAAUGUCUGGUGUCUAUAAGGGUUGCAAUAAAUAAAUAUUAUAAUAAAUAUUGUCUUAUUGAUACUUUUUAUUUUAUCACAUCAUCUCAUUUUCUUAAACUUAUUUUUACUAAGUUAGUACUGCUUCCAAACUUUAGCCAGUAGUGUAUGUCUCAGUACAAUCAUUUAAAUGUUU
Long non-coding RNA from Ictalurus punctatus (channel catfish), 2217 nucleotides. NCBI's taxonomy places the organism in Eukaryota, Metazoa, Chordata, Actinopteri, Siluriformes, Ictaluridae. The record is from Ensembl.